CCUACGGGGUGCAGCAGUGAGGAAUAUUGGUCAAUGGCCGGAAGGCUGAACCAGCCAAGCCGCGUGAAGGACGAAGGUGCCAAGCAUUGUAAACUUCUUUUGUCAAGGGACAAAAUCAGGCUCGAGAGCCUGACCGAGGGUACUUGAAGAAAAAGCAUCGGCUAACUCCGUGCCAGCAGCCGCGGUAAUACGGAGGAUGCGAGCGUUAUCCGGAUUUAUUGGGUUUAAAGGGUGCGUAGGCGGGCUGUUAAGUCAGCGGUAAAAGCCCGGGGCUCAACCCCGGCGAGCCGUUGAAACUGGCUGUCUUGAGAUGUCGAGAGGUAUGCGGAAUGCGCAGGGUAGCGGUGAAAUGCUUAGAUAUCGCGCAGAACCCCGAUUGCGAAGGCAGCGUACCGGCUCCACACUGACGCUGAGGCACGAAAGCGUGGGUAUCGAACAGGAUUAGAUACCCGGGUAGUC
Molecule: ribosomal RNA, 459 nt
Filed under: uncultured bacterium
Lineage: Bacteria
Description: partial 16S ribosomal RNA
Rfam family: Bacterial small subunit ribosomal RNA
Source: RNAcentral